This 544-nucleotide ribosomal RNA is filed under the name Nymphon stroemi. RNAcentral's name for it is "partial 16S ribosomal RNA". It matches the Rfam family "Bacterial large subunit ribosomal RNA", at positions 1807 to 2606 of the family's 2925-position model. The record is from RNAcentral. Lineage: Eukaryota; Metazoa; Arthropoda; Pycnogonida; Pantopoda; Nymphonidae.
UCAAAAACAUGUCCAUAUGUUAGAUUUAUAUGGUCUGGCCYGCUCACUGAUGUUUAAUUAAAGAGCCGCGGUAUCUUGACCGUGCGAAGGUAGCAUAAUAAUUAGUCUCCUAAUUAGAGGCUUGUAUGAAUGGUCGGACAAGAUGGAAACUGUCUCAAUAUAAAAAAUAAAAUUUAAUGUUUAAGUAAAAAAGCUUAAAUGUAAUGGAGGGACGAUAAGACCCUAUAAAGCUUUAUAAUAUAGUCCUCUUAUAUAAAUUGUUUCGUUAACACAUUAUCAGAAAAACUAUAUUAUUUUACUGGGGCGGUAAAAGUAUACUCUUUUGGUUAACUGCUUUUAUUUUUAAAAACAGAUAUAACUGAAAAUAAAUUGAUCCAUUAUUAAUGAUUAUAAGAACAAGUUACUUUAGGGAUAACAGCGUAAUUUUUCUUGAGAGUCCUCAUCGAAAGAAAAGUUUGCGACCUCGAUGUUGAAUUAAGGAUAGCCUUAAGGUGCAGCAGUUUUAAAGGCAGAUCUGUUCGAUCUUUAAAUCCUUACGUGAUCU